UUAAGCGACUAAGCGUACACGGUGGAUGCCCUGGCAGUCAGAGGCGAUGAAGGGCGUGCUAAUCUGCGAUAAGCGCCGGUAAGGUGAUAUGAACCGUUAUAACCGGCGAUACCCGAAUGGGGAAACCCAGUGUGAUUCGUCACACUAUCAUUAACUGAAUCCAUAGGUUAAUGAGGCGAACCGGGGGAACUGAAACAUCUAAGUACCCCGAGGAAAAGAAAUCAACCGAGAUUCCCCCAGUAGCGGCGAGCGAACGGGGAGGAGCCCAGAGCCUGAAUCAGCAUGUGUGUUAGUGGAAGCGUCUGGAAAGGCGCGCGAUACAGGGUGACAGCCCCGUACACAAAAGCGCAUGUGCUGUGAGCUCGAUGAGUAGGGCGGGACACGUGGUAUCCUGUCUGAAUAUGGGGGGACCAUCCUCCAAGGCUAAAUACUCCUGACUGACCGAUAGUGAACCAGUACCGUGAGGGAAAGGCGAAAAGAACCCCGGCGAGGGGAGUGAAAAAGAACCUGAAACCGUGUACGUACAAGCAGUGGGAGCUGAGGGAAAGGCGAAAAGAACCCCGGCGAGGGGAGUGAAAAAGAACCUGAAACCGUGUACGUACAAGCAGUGGGAGCCCCACCACUAAGCCAGUGGUGAACUCCACAUACGCAUCCUUUGCUGAGGAUACGGUUAACGGAGCGAAAGCGACGUUCAACCGCAAAAGAAGCAGAGGGGGCUUAGUGGUGGGGUGACUGCGUACCUUUUGUAUAAUGGGUCAGCGACUUAUAUUCUGUAGCAAGGUUAACCGAAUAGGGGAGCCGUAGGGAAACCGAGUCUUAACCGGGCGUUAAGUUGCAGGGUAUAGACCCGAAACCCGGUGAUCUAGNAGGGAAACCGAGUCUUAACCGGGCGUUAAGUUGCAGGGUAUAGACCCGAAACCCGGUGAUCUAGCCAUGGGCAGGUUGAAGGUUGGGUAACACUAACUGGAGGACCGAACCGACUAAUGUUGAAAAAUUAGCGGAUGACCUGUGGCUGGGGGUGAAAGGCCAAUCAAACCGGGAGAUAGCUGGUUCUCCCCGAAAGCUAUUUAGGUAGCGCCUCGUGAAUUCAUCUCCGGGGGUAGAGCACUGUUUCGGCUAGGGGGCCAUCCCGGCUUACCAACCCGAUGCAAACUGCGAAUACCGGAGAAUGUUAUCACGGGAGACACACGGCGGGUGCUAACGUCCGUCGUGAAGAGGGAAACAACCCAGACCGCCAGCUAAGGUCCCAAAGUCAUGGUUAAGUGGGAAACGAUGUGGGAAGGCCCAGACAGCCAGGAUGUUGGCUUAGAAGCAGCCAUCAUUUAAAGAAAGCGUAAUAGCUCACUGGUCGAGUCGGCCUGCGCGGAAGAUGUAACGGGGCUAAACCAUGCACCGAAGCUGCGGCAGCGAGUAAUAGCUCACUGGUCGAGUCGGCCUGCGCGGAAGAUGUAACGGGGCUAAACCAUGCACCGAAGCUGCGGCAGCGAACGUAUCACUUAAAGCGAUUCAGCGGGUUACGAUUGACGGAGCGAAGCGACGUCAAAGCGUAUACAAAGUCGAGUCGGUUUAAGGAUACGUUCGUUGGGUAGGGGAGCGUUCUGUAAGCCUGUGAAGGUGGCCUGUGAGGGUUGCUGGAGGUAUCAGAAGUGCGAAUGCUNAAGUGUGGACGCCAGUCUGCAUGGAGCCGACCUUGAAAUACCACCCUUUAAUGUUUGAUGUUCUAACGUGGACCCGUAAUCCGGGUUGCGGACAGUGUGAAGGUGGCCUGUGAGGGUUGCUGGAGGUAUCAGAAGUGCGAAUGCUGACAUAAGUAACGAUAAAGCGGGUGAAAAGCCCGCUCGCCGGAAGACCAAGGGUUCCUGUCCAACGUUAAUCGGGGCAGGGUGAGUCGACCCCUAAGGCGAGGCCGAAAGGCGUAGUCGAUGGGAAACGGGUUAAUAUUCCCGUACUUGGUGUUACUGCGAAGGGGGGACGGAGAAGGCUAUGUUGGCCGGGCGACGGUUGUCCCGGUUUAAGCGUGUAGGUGUGUGUUCCAGGUAAAUCCGGUUCACUUUAACACUGAGGCGUGAUGACGAGGCACUACGGUGCUGAAGCAACAAAUGCCCUGCUUCCAGGAAAAGCCUCUAAGCAUCAGGUAACAUCAAAUCGUACCCCAAACCGACACAGGUGGUCAGGUAGAGAAUACCAAGGCGCUUGAGAGAACUCGGGUGAAGGAACUAGGCAAAAUGGUGCCGUAACUUCGGGAGAAGGCACGCUGACACGUAGGUGAAGUGAUUUACUCAUGGAGCUGAAGUCAGUCGAAGAUACCAGCUGGCUGCAACUGUUUAUUAAAAACACAGCACUGUGCAAACACGAAAGUGGACGUAUACGGUGUGACGCCUGCCCGGUGCCGGAAGGUUAAUUGAUGGGGUCAGCGCAAGCGAAGCUCCUGAUCGAAGCCCCGGUAAACGGCGGCCGUAACUAUAACGGUCCUAAGGUAGCGAAAUUCCUUGUCGGGUAAGUUCCGACCUGCACGAAUGGCGUAAUGAUGGCCAGGCUGUCUCCACCCGAGACUCAGUGAAAUUGAACUCGCUGUGAAGAUGCAGUGUACCCGCGGCAAGACGGAAAGACCCCGUGAACCUUUACUAUAGCUUGACACUGAACAUUGAGCCUUGAUGUGUAGGAUAGGUGGGAGGCUUUGAAGCGUGGACGCCAGUCUGCGUGGAGCCGACCUUGAAAUACCACCCUUUAAUGUUUGAUGUUCUAACGUGGACCCGUAAUCCGGGUUGCGGACAGUGUCUGGUGGGUAGUUUGACUGGGGCGGUCUCCUCCUAAAGAGUAACGGAGGAGCACGAAGGUUGGCUAAUCCUGGUCGGACAUCAGGAGGUUAGUGCAAUGGCAUAAGCCAGCUUGACUGCGAGCGUGACGGCGCGAGCAGGUGCGAAAGCAGGUCAUAGUGAUCCGGUGGUUCUGAAUGGAAGGGCCAUCGCUCAACGGAUAAAAGGUACUCCGGGGAUAACAGGCUGAUACCGCCCAAGAGUUCAUAUCGACGGCGGUGUUUGGCACCUCGAUGUCGGCUCAUCACAUCCUGGGGCUGAAGUAGGUCCCAAGGGUAUGGCUGUUCGCCAUUUAAAGUGGUACGCGAGCUGGGUUUAGAACGUCGUGAGACAGUUCGGUCCCUAUCUGCCGUGGGCGCUGGAGAACUGAGGGGGGCUGCUCCUAGUACGAGAGGACCGGAGUGGACGCAUCACUGGUGUUCGGGUUGUCAUGCCAAUGGCACUGCCCGGUAGCUAAAUGCGGAAGAGAUAAGUGCUGAAAGCAUCUAAGCACGAAACUUGCCCCGAGAUGAGUUCUCCCUGAGACUUAGAGUCUCCUGAAGGAACGUUGAAGACGACGACGUUGAUAGGCCGGGUGUGUAAGCGCAGCGAUGCGUUGAGCUAACCGGUACUAAUGAACCGUGAGGCUUAACCUU
Molecule: ribosomal RNA, 3451 nt
Filed under: Salmonella enterica subsp. enterica serovar Derby
Lineage: Bacteria; Pseudomonadati; Pseudomonadota; Gammaproteobacteria; Enterobacterales; Enterobacteriaceae
Description: bacterial LSU rRNA
Rfam family: Bacterial large subunit ribosomal RNA
Source: RNAcentral